GACGAACGCUGGCGGCGUGCUUAACACAUGCAAGUCGAACGGAAAGGCCCUGCUCUUGUGGGGUGCUCGUGUGGCGAAGGGGUGAGUAACACGCGAGUAACCUGCCCUUGUCUGUGGGAUAACAUCAGGAAACUGGGGCUAAUACCGGAUAGGAGCUUCUGCAGCAUGGGGGGGGAAGGAGAGUUUCGGCGGUUGGGGAUGGAAUCGCGGCUUAUGAGCUUGUUGGUGGGGUAGUGAGUUACCAAGGCUUUGACGGGUAGGCGGCAUGGGAGGGUGACCGGCCACAUUGGGACUGAGGUACGGCCCAGACUCCUACGGGAGGCAGCAGUGGGGAAUAUUGCACAAUGGGCGGAAGCGUGAUGCAGAAGCGCCGCGUGCGGGAUGACGGCCUUCGGGUUGUAAACCGCUUUCGCCUGUGACGAAGCGUGAGUGACGGUAAUGAGUAAGGAAGCACCGGCUAACUACGUG
Molecule: ribosomal RNA, 468 nt
Filed under: uncultured bacterium
Lineage: Bacteria
Description: partial 16S ribosomal RNA
Rfam family: Bacterial small subunit ribosomal RNA
Source: RNAcentral